This 534-nucleotide ribosomal RNA is filed under the name Triticum aestivum (bread wheat). Its description in RNAcentral is "partial small subunit ribosomal RNA". Lineage: Eukaryota; Viridiplantae; Streptophyta; Magnoliopsida; Poales; Poaceae. The record is from RNAcentral.
AUGCUGUGCAAAUUAUACAGUGAGAAAUGUUUGGCUGAACCAUGCACCUCCAUGGGCCUCGAAUGUUCAAUGCUUAUUCCGGACAUGUGCCGCUAUGCCAUUCUACCACACCUCUAUAUUCAGGCACCUCCAUUUUAUCCGUGCAACUUUAAACAAUCUACUCCACCUAUAAAUUCAGGUGCUGCUAUUCUAUCCGUUCAAUCUUUCACACAUAUUUGUAACGUUCAGUCUUUAUCAAAUGUUUCUAAUAUUUUUAUCCAAGAUGGACGGGCACAGCAAAUCACGUCUUGCAGUCUCGGUCUUUUGUUAUGCGCGCAGACAGAAAUUUACAUGAUUCCUGGAGAGAGUGCACAUGUUCUUAUUUGCAGUACAUUAUUUAACACGGAAGAUUCACAUGUUUUACUUCUUUGGUGUGUCUGCAUGGUUCCAGUUGGUAUGCGCCAAGGAAGUAUAACUCCUUCCACCGGCCACAUCUUCUUCACGUAUCUGGCUGCUAAUUUCUUUCAGGUCAUCUUCGGUGAGCUUUAUCUUUAA